Molecule: ribosomal RNA, 553 nt
Filed under: Vibrio parahaemolyticus
Lineage: Bacteria; Pseudomonadati; Pseudomonadota; Gammaproteobacteria; Vibrionales; Vibrionaceae
Description: partial 23S ribosomal RNA
Rfam family: Bacterial large subunit ribosomal RNA
Source: RNAcentral
GGGAAGGCUCAGACAGCCAGGAUGUUGGCUUAGAAGCAGCCAUCAUUUAAAGAAAGCGUAAUAGCUCACUGGUCGAGUCGGCCUGCGCGGAAGAUGUAACGGGGCUAAGUAGUAAACCGAAGCUGCGGCAAUAUACUUUUGUAUAUUGGGUAGGGGAGCGUUCUGUAAGCGGUUGAAGGUGUGUGGUAACGCAUGCUGGACGUAUCAGAAGUGCGAAUGCUGACAUGAGUAACGAUAAAGGGGGUGAAAAACCUCCUCGCCGGAAGACCAAGGGUUCCUGUCCAACGUUAAUCGGGGCAGGGUAAGUCGACCCCUAAGGCGAGGCCGAAAGGCGUAGUCGAUGGGAAACGGGUUAAUAUUCCCGUACUUCUUACAAUUGCGAUGGGGGGACGGAGAAGGCUAGGUGGGCCUGGCGACGGUUGUCCAGGUUCAAGUGCGUAGGCUUAAGAGUUAGGUAAAUCCGGCUCUUUUUAAGGCUGAGACACGACGUCGAGCAUCUACGGAUGUGAAGUCAUUGAUGCCAUGCUUCCAGGAAAAGCCUCUAAGCUUCAGA